Molecule: ribosomal RNA, 468 nt
Filed under: uncultured bacterium
Lineage: Bacteria
Description: partial 16S ribosomal RNA
Rfam family: Bacterial small subunit ribosomal RNA
Source: RNAcentral
GACGAACGCUGGCGGCGUGCUUAACACAUGCAAGUCGAACGGAAAGGCCCUGCUUUUGUGGGGUGCUCGAGUGGCGAACGGGUGAGUAACACGUGAGUAACCUGCCCUUGACUUUGGGAUAACUUCAGGAAACUGGGGCUAAUACCGGAUAGGAGCUCCUGCUGCAUGGUGGGGGUUGGAAAGUUUCGGCGGUUGGGGAUGGACUCGCGGCUUAUCAGCUUGUUGGUGGGGUAGUGGCUUACCAAGGCUGUGACGGGUAGCCGGCCUGGGAGGGUGACCGGCCACAUUGGGACUGAGAUACGGCCCAGACUCCUACGGGAGGCAGCAGUGGGGAAUAUUGCACAAUGGGCGGAAGCCUGAUGCAGCAACGCCGCGUGCGGGAUGACGGCCUUCGGGGUGUAAACCGCUUUCGCCUGUGACGAAGCGUGAGUGACGGUAAUGGGUAAAGAAGCACCGGCUAACUACGUG